This 490-nucleotide ribosomal RNA is filed under the name uncultured bacterium. RNAcentral's name for it is "partial 16S ribosomal RNA". It matches the Rfam family "Bacterial small subunit ribosomal RNA", at positions 30 to 507 of the family's 1533-position model. The record is from RNAcentral.
AUUGAACGCUGGCGGCAGGCCUAACACAUGCAAGUCGAACGGUAACAGGAAACAGCUUGCUGUUUCGCUGACGAGUGGCGGACGGGUGAGUAAUGUCUGGGAAACUGCCUGAUGGAGGGGGAUAACUACUGGAAACGGUAGCUAAUACCGCAUAACGUCGCAAGACCAAAGAGGGGGACCCUCGGGCCUCUUGCCAUCGGAUGUGCCCAGAUGGGAUUAGCUUGUUGGUGGGGUAACGGCUCACCAAGGCGACGAUCCCUAGCUGGUCUGAGAGGAUGACCGGCGACACUGGAAGUGAGACACGGACCAGACGCCUACGGGAGGGAGCAGUGGGGAAUAUUGCACAAUGGGGGCAAGCCUGAUGCAGCGGUGCCGAGUGUAUGAAGAAGGCCUUCGGGUUGUAAAGUACUUUCAGCGGGGAGGAAGGGAGUAAAGUUAAUACCUUGGCUCAUUGACGUUACCCGCAGAAGAAGCACCGGCUAACUCCGUG